UACGUAGGGUGCGAGCGUUAAUCGGAAUUACUGGGCGUAAAGCGUGCGCAGGCGGUUUUGUAAGCCAGAUGUGAAAGCCCCGGGCUUAACCUGGGAAUGGCAUUCGGGACUGCAAGGCUUGAGUGCGGCAGAGGAGACUGGAAUUCCUGGUGUAGCAGUGAAAUGCGUAGAUAUCAGGAGGAAUACCGAUGGCGAAGGCAGGUCUCUGGGCUGACACUGACGCUCAUGCACGAAAGCGUGGUGAGCAAACAGG
Molecule: ribosomal RNA, 253 nt
Filed under: uncultured bacterium
Lineage: Bacteria
Description: partial 16S ribosomal RNA
Rfam family: Bacterial small subunit ribosomal RNA
Source: RNAcentral